CCUACGGGCGGCUGCAGUGAGGAAUAUUGGUCAAUGGACGCAAGUCUGAACCAGCCAUGUCGCGUGCAGGAAGACGGCCCUAUGAGUUGUAAACUGCUUUUGUAAGAGGGUAAACGCAGAUACGCGUAUCUGUCUGAAAGUAACGUACGAAUAAGGCUUGGCCAACUCCGUUCCAGCAGCCGCGGUAAUACGGAGGAUUCAAGCGUUAUCCGGAUUUAUUGGGGUUAAAGGGUGCCUAGGGGGUCGGGUAAGUUAGGGGUGAAAUCCCGGGGCUCAACUUUGGAAUUGCCUUUGAUACUGGUCGGCUAGAGAGUAGUUGCGGUAGGCGGAAUGUAUGGUGUAGCGGUGAAAUGCUUAGAGAUCACACAGAACACCGAUUGCGAAGGCAGCUUACCAAGCUACUUCUGACGUUGAGGCACGAAAGCGUGGGGAGCAAACAGGAUUAGAUACCCUGGUAGUC
Molecule: ribosomal RNA, 460 nt
Filed under: uncultured bacterium
Lineage: Bacteria
Description: partial 16S ribosomal RNA
Rfam family: Bacterial small subunit ribosomal RNA
Source: RNAcentral